Molecule: long non-coding RNA, 471 nt
Organism: Aphis gossypii (cotton aphid)
Lineage: Eukaryota; Metazoa; Arthropoda; Insecta; Hemiptera; Aphididae
Exons: 4
Source: RefSeq, a predicted model, not a curated record
GUAAAUUUGUAAUUUUGUCUUUCAGUUUGUUUGAUAAGUCUUUAAUGAUGUUUGGUUUAUUUGUCUACCCAUCACCAUGGAGUUCUUUAAACAAAUUUUCUAAAAUAUGAGCAGCGUUGACUAGUGUUGGUGAUGGAAUUGUAUGGAUAUUUAUGGAUGAAGCGAUGUGCUACAUAUCCAGCUACAUAUUCAACGCACUCCUUUUCUAUGUCUCCAAAUGAUUCUUCAUUUUCAAUCUAAAAUAAUGGUACUGGAAGGAAAAAACAUCUAAUUUAAUUUACUAAAUAAGAAACAAAUUUACUUAAUAUUGGUGAAAAAUGAGAUCCACUAAAUCCAGUGUAUACUGCGGUUGAAUGUUUUCCCAAAAUGUACCACCUGAGACUAAAAAAUAAGAUUUGAACAAUAAUUUAUGUUUUAAUGUAAUGUAUAUAGAAAUAAUAUAAAAAAAAUUGUUAUGUACGCAUAUUUAAA